GAGGGUGUAGCUCAGUGGUAGAGCGCAUGCCUAGCCUGCAGGAGGUCCUGGGUCCAGUCCCCAGGCCCUCC
RNAcentral lists this transfer RNA (71 nucleotides) under Camelus bactrianus (Bactrian camel). It matches the Rfam family "tRNA". From Rfam's summary of the family: Transfer RNA (tRNA) molecules are approximately 80 nucleotides in length. Their secondary structure includes four short double-helical elements and three loops (D, anti-codon, and T loops). The record is from Rfam by way of RNAcentral. RNAcentral also lists the same sequence under 2 other names. Lineage: Eukaryota; Metazoa; Chordata; Mammalia; Artiodactyla; Camelidae.